Molecule: ribosomal RNA, 1546 nt
Filed under: Actinacidiphila rubida
Lineage: Bacteria; Bacillati; Actinomycetota; Actinomycetes; Kitasatosporales; Streptomycetaceae
Description: bacterial LSU rRNA
Rfam family: Bacterial large subunit ribosomal RNA
Source: RNAcentral
GAUCUCUUCGGAGUGAGGGGGAGUGGUGGAGCCGGUGACCCGAGGUGGUAGUAGGUAAGCGAUGGGGUGACGCAGGAAGGUAGUCCAGCCCGGGCGGUGGUUGUCCCGGGGUAAGGGUGUAGGACGUCAGGUAGGUAAAUCCGCCUGGCUUUAAGUCUGAGACCUGAUGCCGAGCCGAUUGUGGUGAAGUGGAUGAUCCUAUGCUGUCGAGAAAAGCCUCUAGCGAGUUUCAUGGCGGCCCGUACCCUAAACCGACUCAGGUGGUCUGGUAGAGAAUACCGAGGCGUUCGGGUGAACUGUGGUUAAGGAACUCGGCAAAAUGCCCCCGUAACUUCGGGAGAAGGGGGGCCUCUCCUGGUGAUGAGUCUUGCACUCUGAGCUGGGGGUGGCCGCAGAGACCAGCGAGAAGCGACUGUUUACUAAAAACACAGGUCCGUGCGAAGCCGUAAGGCGAUGUAUACGGACUGACGCCUGCCCGGUGCUGGAACGUUAAGGGGACCGGUUAGUCACGAUUCGUCGUGGCGAAGCUGAGAACUUAAGCGCCAGUAAACGGCGGUGGUAACUAUAACCAUCCUAAGGUAGCGAAAUUCCUUGUCGGGUAAGUUCCGACCUGCACGAAUGGCGUAACGACUUCUCGACUGUCUCAACCACAGGCCCGGUGAAAUUGCACUACGAGUAAAGAUGCUCGUUUCGCGCAGCAGGACGGAAAGACCCCGGGACCUUUACUAUAGCUUGAUAUUGGUGUUCGGUUCGGCUUGUGUAGGAUAGGUGGGAGACUGUGAAGCCGUGGCGCCAGCCAUGGUGGAGUCAACGUUGAAAUACCACUCUGGUCGUGCUGGAUGUCUAACCUCGGUCCGUGAUCCGGAUCAGGGACAGUGUCUGGUGGGUAGUUUAACUGGGGCGGUUGCCUCCUAAAGAGUAACGGAGGCGCCCAAAGGUUCCCUCAGCCUGGUUGGCAAUCAGGUGUUGAGUGUAAGUGCACAAGGGAGCUUGACUGUGAGACUGACGGGUCGAGCAGGUACGAAAGUAGGGACUAGUGAUCCGGCGGUGGCUUGUGGAAGCGCCGUCGCUCAACGGAUAAAAGGUACCCCGGGGAUAACAGGCUGAUCUUCCCCAAGAGUCCAUAUCGACGGGAUGGUUUGGCACCUCGAUGUCGGCUCGUCGCAUCCUGGGGCUGGAGUCGGUCCCAAGGGUUGGGCUGUUCGCCCAUUAAAGCGGUACGCGAGCUGGGUUUAGAACGUCGUGAGACAGUUCGGUCCCUAUCCGCUGCGCGCGCAGGAGUCUUGAGAAGGGCUGUCCCUAGUACGAGAGGACCGGGACGGACGAACCUCUGGUGUGCCAGUUGUCCUGCCAAGGGCAUGGCUGGUUGGCUACGUUCGGGAGGGAUAACCGCUGAAAGCAUCUAAGCGGGAAGCCUGCUUCGAGAUGAGGACUCCCACCCACUUGAUGGGGUAAGGCUCCCAGUAGACGACUGGGUUGAUAGGCCGGAUGUGGAAGCACCGUAAGGUGUGGAGCUGACCGGUACUAAUAGGCCGAGGGCUUGUCC